UACGAAGGGGGCUAGCGUUGCUCGGAAUCACUGGGCGUAAAGGGUGCGUAGGCGGGUCGUUAAGUCAGGGGUGAAAUCCUGGAGCUCAACUCCAGAACUGCCUUUGAUACUGGCAACCUAGAGGCUGGAAGAGGUUAGUGGAAUUCCCAGUGUAGAGGUGAAAUUCGUAGAUAUUGGGAAGAACACCAGUGGCGAAGGCGGCUAACUGGUCCAGAUCUGACGCUGAGGUGCGAAAGCGUGGGGAGCAAACAGG
RNAcentral lists this ribosomal RNA (253 nucleotides) under uncultured bacterium. RNAcentral describes it as "partial 16S ribosomal RNA". It matches the Rfam family "Bacterial small subunit ribosomal RNA", at positions 524 to 776 of the family's 1533-position model. The record is from RNAcentral.